This 253-nucleotide ribosomal RNA is filed under the name uncultured bacterium. Its description in RNAcentral is "partial 16S ribosomal RNA". It matches the Rfam family "Bacterial small subunit ribosomal RNA", at positions 524 to 776 of the family's 1533-position model. The record is from RNAcentral.
UACGUAGGGGGCAAGCGUUGUCCGGAUUUAUUGGGCGUAAAGAGCGUGUAGGCGGCCAUACAGGUCCGUUGUGAAAACUCGAGGCUCAACCUCGAGACGUCGAUGGAAACCGUAUGGCUAGAGUCCGGAAGAGGAGAGUGGAAUUCCUGGUGUAGCGGUGAAAUGCGCAGAUAUCGGGAGGAACACCAGUGGCGAAGGCGACUACCUGGCCCAUUCUUGACGCUGAGGCGCGAAAGCUAGGGGAGCGAACGGG